Molecule: long non-coding RNA, 3685 nt
Filed under: Sus scrofa (pig)
Lineage: Eukaryota; Metazoa; Chordata; Mammalia; Artiodactyla; Suidae
Description: lncRNA (ENSSSCG00000053467.1)
Source: RNAcentral
AGGGCCACACCUGUGGCAUAAGGAAGUUCCCAAGCCAGGGGUCCAAUCAGAGCUGCAGCCGCUGGCCUACACCACAGCCACAGCAACAUGGGAUCUGAGCCAUGUCUGUGACCUACACCAUGGCUCAUGGCAAUGCUAGAUCCUUAACCCACUGAGCAAGGCCAGGGAGUGAACCCACAACCUCAUGGUUCCUAGUUGGACUUGUUUCUACUGUGCCACAACAGGAACUCAUGACAUUGUUUUAACUCUUGCCUAAGUCUGGAAUAAGGCUCUGACAUAUCCUUUGGUUUUGUUGAGGCAGCGGACUUUGACCCCCUAGCCUGGGGCAGCAUGCUUAUGCCUACAGCCUAACCCUCCUGUUCUGAUUCUGCCAGCAGCAUCAGUGUGCUGGUGCCUGCGUGGGGCUCUGCACCCCUCCCCUCCCAUGUUAACUCCGUGAGCAGAGGCAGUGCCCUUGUGCCUGGGUGGUGGCUCUGCUCCUCUCCCCCACCUGCACUCCCCUGGCAGCAACAGCAGUGGCUGCUAUGGCUGGAGGGGUGCCAGCACCAUUUGGGGGAUUGUAAGGUGGUGGCAGUGAGCCAAGGGGGUCCCAUGGAGGGGAGGAGGCCCCAAAAUGUUCUUGGGUUUCCUUAUUUCCCUUUUGGUCCCAUGAUCUGAGGGGAAAUAAGACCACUGGUCCCCUGCUGCCAACAGAGAGCAUAAUAAGUUUCCUUCUGAAACCCCAGUGACUUGUCCUGGACAAACUGAGCAGCUGACAGACCCAAUCAUUGUCUGACCUGAACUUUGGCCAGAAGACAGAUGGGGCGAUAACAGUGUCUGUGUCCAGAUAAAACAAUAUUUAUUCUUUCCUUCUUUUUGUCCUUCAUCAAUGGAUUGUUGCCCCAACACUUUAAUAUCAAUCCCAGAGGAAGGUCUGGAGGAACUUGGUCCCCUCCCCCAGGCAAUACUCCAAAUGGAGGUACAGGUCAGGACGACUUACUUCCCAUUUCCCAGGAUCAUGUUAUGAUCCUCUGAUUUCACCUGAAAUCACUGGUCUCACCUGAGACACUUUGAGGCUUACCAACCCCCAUCCCCAACCAAUCAAAGAUCUUUCCUGCCUUGGUCCAUUAAUGGAGUUGCCUGGUCAUCACACAAUUUCCCACGUUGUGGAGAACCCUCCACAGGUUUGAAGUUCACAGGUGCAGUCUUCUCAAUUUAGGGCCACCACAACAGGCUGUGGGAUGCGUCUCCCCUCCUCAAGAAUCCGCACUCUAGUGAACCCCAAAUCCUAGAUGAGCCCCCAAAUCUGUUAGGGACAUGGCUCAGAUGGUCAAUAUCGAAAAAUGAGACAUAUGAACACGGGGAGAUCUCUACAAGGUUCUUUACAUCUGCAGAAGGGUGUGGGUGCUCAAAGAGUGUGUGCAAAGAAGCAAAGACUCUCACUCUUUAUCCCUAGCAGGUGAUGUACCGGUCCCCUUCCCAUUGGUCAGGUCGGGGUGCACAUUCUUCUCAGUUGGCUAAUUUGAAACAAACUGUUACUGGGAGAAGAGGGAAAGAGGUGGGGGGACUGCAGAAAGGCAUUUCAGCUGAAAUGAGAGCAAAAUGGAAUGACCAAAAGUUCCUUUGAUAGAAAAGACAUUAUGGUACUUUCCACAUCAUGUUGACAGUGGCAAAGUCUGUUGUCCAGAAAACAGAAAAUACCAGUUUUAGUUUUUGGUGUUGUUCUACUAGUAGUUUUGAGGUUCCCCCCAUAUCCCUGACCCGGCAGCUAUUGACCUGCCAAAUUGAGUAAAACUUGGUUUUGUGAUCUUAGUGAACUUGAGUUGGCUCUGAGAAAUGUAUCCAUUUAAGUUGUGCUGAUCUAAUCCAGUCCCUGGUCCACUGUGCAGUCAGAACACAGAUGCAGAAUCAUCAGUAUAUUUGUACCAUAGAAGCCCAUUGGGUGAUAAGCAGAUAACCUGUCCUGAUGUAACCCAUACAUAUUUCAUCACCAUCAACUAUCUCACUUUUUUUUUUUUCUUGUUUCUUUGAGAUAAAGGGUGUAACUUUAGUAAAGCAGUUAUGAAGUGUUAGGUUCCUAGGAGGUCUGACUAUAUAAUAAAUAAAAUUAUUUUAUUUCUUUGGUUGUCAUUCUCUGUUCUAAUUUCAGCAAGCUCCUCAAAGUAUUGUACCCAGAACUGUCAAGAUUCCUGCAUAACCAAUCACCUCUUCAAUUCAGUUACUAUAUUUCUAUUCAUGAAAUAUAAGAUCCCAUUAGCUCUGUUGGAGCUAUACCACACUAUUGAUUGGUAUUGAUGUCCUGUCAAGUAAAACCUGCAGUCUCUUUUUAUACAUGCUAUUGCUAAGUGAUCCUAUCCUUUGUACAGCUGGCUUUUUGAAUGUGAGGACAGGACCUUACAUUUUUCCUUUUAAAAUGCUUACUAGUUUUGGUCCUUUACUCUUUGUUGUCCAAAUACUGUGGAUUCUUUACUCUGUAACACAAACUAUGUACCAAGCCUCUCUGAUUUCUUGUCAUAUACAAAUAUGGUGGAUCUAACUACUUUAUAGUUUUCAAGUUAAAAUGUGAAUAGGUUAUAACUACUGAAGUAAACAGAACUGAAUUCAGAUCCUAAAGGGAUAUGCUAGAAUCCUCUCUUUAGGUUGACACCAUUGUAUACCGUCCUUCACUUAGUUAUUAAUCUAUAUCUUUUAUCAUAAGUUCACACUGAUGUGUCAGUCACCGAAGUCUUAUGAGUAGUGCUUUGAUCAAAAUCAAUCUACUGCUUUUCUUUGAUCUAUUCCUCUAAUGCUGUUUUAAAAAGAGUGUAAACUGUGACAUAGUCUUAUAAAUGUUUGCUGCAGCCUAAAUAUAAUAAAACUGGACACAUUACAUUCACCCUCUAACUGCUUUUCUUGGACAUUUCUAAUCUCCAUUCGUGGAAUUAUCAAAAAGAUGCUUAAAGAUAACAGAAAUCCCUCCCUUCAUGGGUACUAUACAUACAUACAUACAUACAUAUUAUUCUUAUCCCUUCCCUGAAAAAAAUCCCAGAGGUUUUCCUGAGUUUCUCUUUAUAAUGUUUAAUCUAGUCCUGUCUUCUUCAGAUAAUUCCUCUGCAUCCAGUCUUUGUACUCUUCAAUUUUGAUCUAAAUAUAGCUAGCUCAACUUAUUUCCUCUGAGGUCUAUGAUCUGAUAAUUAAAUUGAUGAAAAUAUCAUGGACAAAUAGGUGCUACCUAACAAAAAUGAUAAUAGCUUAAAUGUACUAAUUUAUGGAUGGGCUAAAAUUCAAAUGUGUGUUCAUUUAUAUAUAUAUAUAUAUAAAUGUGUGUGUAUAUAUAUACACACCCACACAUAUUAUCAUAUAUAGGCAUAUAUAUAUACAUGCAUAUUUUAAAUUUUAUUUAUAUCAUAAAACAUAUGACUUAGAAUAAUAAUAGGGAUAAACUCUGAUACUACCCCCAAUCUAACAAAUUAAUUUCAAAUUUAUUCACAAGGAUAGUCCAACAAAAGAUUUAUUUAAAAGUUAAGUUUAUAUCUUUGUAUGAGUUGGUCAUUUCACACUUGUUUGAAUAAUAUAUACUCUUUCUCAAUAAAUUAUACAUAGUAUGCUUUAUAAAUGCUUCGUUUUCACUUUUUAGCUACAAUUUUCAUGUCAGUAAUUAAACUAUCAAUAUAUGUUGGGUUCAUUGAAUCAGUGGCUUAGGCAUUUCCCUUCCCUAUAGAAAAUG